AAUGGCAUUCUUCACACCGUGGCGGAUCAUUUCUUGGGUAUAUGCAGCCAUUGUGAAUGACAUGAUAUUUUCAUACAAUAUUGUCAUGUUCAUGUGCUUGGCUAGUAUUUAACAUCCUCACUACUCAGCUGCGCCUGUAUUUUUUCCCUCUACUUGGAGCUCAACGAUCUCACCAAACUGCAGGACUUGGCCAGACUGAAGAUGGACACAAUGAUUUCUCUGCCCGCCUCAAGAGCGGCAAGACACCUUUGGAUCCCGGCCCACAUCUCCGUAUGUAAAUCGUGACACUAUGAAGAAGAGAGAAAGAUAACAAAACGAGGAUUUUAGGAUGCAAAAUCAACCCAUUUACACAACUCGCAACCAAAACCAGCCCGAGCCACAAUAUGGCUACAGUCAGUACUGAAUUAUUGGAGCAUGAUAUGAAAUGUCUUCUAACUCAUUACACGAUAAUAAAUCAUGAGAUGGUAAAUUCCAA
Molecule: long non-coding RNA, 475 nt
Organism: Tigriopus californicus
Lineage: Eukaryota; Metazoa; Arthropoda; Copepoda; Harpacticoida; Harpacticidae
Exons: 2
Source: RefSeq, a predicted model, not a curated record